UACGGGGGGGGCAAGCGUUGUUCGGAAUUACUGGGCGUAAAGGGCUCGUAGGCGGCCAACUAAGUCAGACGUGAAAUCCCCAGGCUUAACCUGGGAACUGCGUCUGAUACUGGAUGGCUUGAAUUCGGGAGAGGGAUGCAGAAUUCCAGGUGUAGCGGUGAAAUGCGUAGAUAUCUGGAGGAAUACCGGUGGCGAAGGCGGCUCUCUGGACGGUGACUGACGCUGAGACGCGAAAGCGUGGGGAGCAAACAGG
RNAcentral lists this ribosomal RNA (253 nucleotides) under uncultured bacterium. RNAcentral's name for it is "partial 16S ribosomal RNA". It matches the Rfam family "Bacterial small subunit ribosomal RNA", at positions 524 to 776 of the family's 1533-position model. The record is from RNAcentral.